AUACGUAGGGGGCAAGCGUUGUCCGGAAUUAUUGGGCGUAAAGCGCGCGCAGGCGGUCUUUUAAGUCUGAUGUGAAAUCUCGCGGCUCAACCGCGAGCGGCCAUUGGAAACUGGGAGACUUGAGUAUAGGAGAGGAAAGUGGAAUUCCACGUGUAGCGGUGAAAUGCGUAGAGAUGUGGAGGAACACCAGUGGCGAAGGCGACUUUCUGGCCUAUAACUGACGCUGAGGCGCGAAAGCGUGGGGAGCAAACAGGAUUAGAUACCCUGGUAGUCCACGCCGUAAACGAUGAGUGCUAGGUGUUAGGGGUUUCGAUACCCUUAGUGCCGGCGUUAACACAUUAAGCACUCCGCCUGGGGAGUACGGCCGCAAGGCUGAA
Molecule: ribosomal RNA, 377 nt
Filed under: uncultured bacterium
Lineage: Bacteria
Description: bacterial SSU rRNA
Rfam family: Bacterial small subunit ribosomal RNA
Source: RNAcentral